UACGUAGGGUGCAAGCGUUGUCCGGAAUUAUUGGGCGUAGAGGGCUCGUAGGCGGUCCGUCACGUCGGGAGUGAAAACUUGGGGCUUAACCCCAAGCCUGCUUCCGAUACGGGCGGACUAGAGGUAGGCAGGGGAGAACGGAAUUCCUGGUGUAGCGGUGAAAUGCGCAGAUAUCAGGAGGAACACCGGUGGCGAAGGCGGUUCUCUGGGCCUUACCUGACGCUGAGGAGCGAAAGCGUGGGGAGCAAACAGG
Molecule: ribosomal RNA, 253 nt
Filed under: uncultured bacterium
Lineage: Bacteria
Description: partial 16S ribosomal RNA
Rfam family: Bacterial small subunit ribosomal RNA
Source: RNAcentral